Molecule: long non-coding RNA, 934 nt
Organism: Planococcus citri (citrus mealybug)
Lineage: Eukaryota; Metazoa; Arthropoda; Insecta; Hemiptera; Pseudococcidae
Exons: 2
Source: RefSeq, a predicted model, not a curated record
UUCAUUUUCCGCUCACACUCUCGCGAGCUAUAGCUAGCGUAUCCCUUCGGCCUUCGCGUUCUCCCGGCGCCGGAAAAAUUCAAAUUUUCAAUUACACCAGCGGCGCGUAAUUUGCGACUAUUGCUUUACCCAAAAAAUCGGAAAUAAAAUAUCGAAAUAUUUCGGAAGUUGUAAAUUUUUCGCAGAUACGAAAAUUAUUUUCUAUAUUUAAUGCGAGUAUAUAAUAUGUAGAUGUGUAUAUUUUGGAUGAAAACACGCGCAGAAUAAAGCUAGCUUUGCCGUGUAUAUAACUGAAACUAAUGACAGCGCGGACAUUUCAGCGGAGGGGAACGUGAAAUCUGUACCGAAAACGGAGUUCGUUUCACCCCGAUUUCGAAGUAGGGGUUGUUUAAAAUAGUCACCCUCUUGAUAACAAACCACUGUCGAACGUAUUAUCAGCGUUGUUAGUUUCUUAUUGUUCAUUUCGGUUCGAGCGGUCGUCAUGAUAUGCAUCGCUUGCGUCCAGCGGCACACACGAAACAUGUCAGGAAGAAGAUGGGACACGCGAUGAUAUAUUCUCUAGCCACUAUUAGAUAUGUUUGAUAUUCUUUGGUUGUUGUCUAAUAAAUCAACCAAGAAUCAAACAUAUUCUCAUAGCGGCAGAUGAUUAAAAUGUAGAGGAAUUCGAAGAUACGAGAACGAGUUGUCAAUAAAAUACAAAAAUACGCGGUCCGUAAGCAGAAUUGGACUAUAGAUAAUUUUUAAAAAUAAAUACUUGUAUAAUUACAGCACUAGAUAAACCUUGUAUAAUUACAGCACUAGAUAAACCAUAGGUAAAUUUAUAAGUUAAAAAAAAUGUCAAAAGUAUAUAUUUUUUUUCUUCUUAAUCAUUGUAGCUUACCGAUAUCUGCAUAAUAUUUGUAAUUCAAAAUCAAAAUAUAAAUGUUGCUAUUUA